CAGUAGCCGCGGGAAAACGGAGGGUGCAAGCGUUAAUCGGAAUUACUGGGCGUAAAGCGCACGCAGGCGGUCUGACAAGUCAGAUGUGAAAUCCCCGGGCUUAACCUGGGAACUGCAUUUGAAACUGUCAGGCUGGAGUCUUGUAGAGGGGGGUAGAAUUCCAGGUGUAGCGGUGAAAUGCGUAGAGAUCUGGAGGAAUACCGGUGGCGAAGGCGGCCCCCUGGACAAAGACUGACGCUCAGGUGCGAAAGCGUAGGGAGCAAACAGGAUUAGAUACCCGAGUAGUCCCUGUCUCUUAUAC
Molecule: ribosomal RNA, 301 nt
Filed under: uncultured bacterium
Lineage: Bacteria
Description: partial 16S ribosomal RNA
Rfam family: Bacterial small subunit ribosomal RNA
Source: RNAcentral